UGUGUUAUCACUCCAUCAUUAUGAUCUAGAGUUGUUUUAAAAUAGUUUUCUAAGAAAAAUGUUGUAGAAACAAAGGGGAACUUACUUAGGUUCAUAAAUAUGAGAAAUGGGGUAGUUUGAGAACCACUGAUCUAUACCACUAUUUUGAGAGGAAAGGGACGUACAUACAUGUCUUGCCUGAGGCGUGUUGGUAAGGCAGUGGGUGUGGUUUUAAAUUCUGUUUUACAUAAAUGGUAGAGGCGGAGCCUUUAAACCAAAUUGAAACUGAUCAGAGGGAUAAAGGUGAAAAGGAAGAACAACCUCCAACACAGUAGACGGUUCAUCAUCACUGAAAGCCUCUAAAGAAGAUAAAAUGGCCUCCAACCUUGAACUCAAUGAUCUGCUCGUCUCUCUGAAGGACAAGCUGACCUGCUCCAUCUGUACACAGCUGUUCACAUGUGGCCACUUUUUCUGCAAGACAUGCUUCGUUAACCAAUCUGGCAACCAGUGUCCAGAGUGCCAGACCCCCGUGGAGAGAGUGCCCGAGGUGAACGUUGUCCUGUGUGAGAUGAUCAGGUUCUUCCAGAGGCUGCAGUGCCACGAGCUGGUGACCCCCGUGACAGACUUGGAUCAGAGAGCCUGUCAGAAACAUGGCCAUCCUUUGGUGUUCUACAACACUAACCAGCAGGUCUGUAUGUGUGUCCGCUGUGUGAGCAUCUCUGAGGACAUCGUCUUCAUCGAGGAGGAAGCAAAGAAGAAAAAGACCCAAAUAAAUGAAGUGUUGGCCAACUGGAAAAAUGAAAUCACCCACCGAGAAAAUAAAAGGAGGAGCUGAAUGGUGAGAUCCAAGAAA
RNAcentral lists this long non-coding RNA (832 nucleotides) under Gouania willdenowi (blunt-snouted clingfish). RNAcentral's name for it is "lncRNA (ENSGWIG00000003711.1)". Lineage: Eukaryota; Metazoa; Chordata; Actinopteri; Blenniiformes; Gobiesocidae. The record is from RNAcentral.